GAGGGAUUUGGAUGAAGAGAGGAGAAACCGUUGUGCAAAGGAACGGAUCUAUCUGGAAAGAAGCCAGUCCACAGCCAUUAUUCACUCACAGCAUCUAAUGUUGGAGGAAGAGAUGGUGGGAACCAUUGAUUUAAGGCUGUUCUGGCAGGGUAAGAGGUUUUCUGGAAGUGCUGAGGAAAGCGGUGGGGAAUUUUCUGCUCUGGACUAAUGGUGACUGAUGAAAAUGAAAAUGCCUGAGGUGCAAUUCUGAAUUGGAAGGGCUUUCGCAGUGUCAAUUGAUACCAAAUAGAGACACUCUCCACUGUCUGUCCCCCCUCUGCUCAAAACAACAGGAGUAAUCCCAAACGCGUGCCAGACCAGCAAGCCAGUGAAUCUGUGCGUGUGUGCACAAGCACGUGCACAAGCGUGUGUGUGUACGCACACACCUCUCAACUUCUCCAGGAUCCACACUUAAUGCCGCUGGCUUCUGUUCAAUCCGUCUGCGGCCAACAAAGUUGAAAACACACUAUAUAAGGCCAAGGCUCCAGGAUUCUUCUGACUGCAGUACCCUAAACUAGAGAGGAGGAACAGAGAGAGAGCUCUGGAUGCAGACUGGGACUAGAACCCACUGUUGUGUUCUGUUCUUCCCUCAUGCCUGCAGCUUGACCUUUACAUAAUCUAUGUUAUCUCUCUCUGGCUUUCUCUCUCUCUCUCUCUCUCUCUCUCUCUCUCUCUCUCUCUCUCUCUCUCUCUCUCUGGCUUUCUCUCUCUUUCUCUCUGUGGCUUUCUCUCUCUCUCUCUCACACACAUACACACUCGUUCUCUCUCUUCCUUUUUCUUCCCCCCUUUGGUUUUUCCUCUGUUGAUGCACACGCAUGCUUAUGAUGGAAAGAGGUAGCUAUGUGCUUAGUGUAUGAAAAGCAGGACUUCCUUAACAGGAUGGGGGGGGGCUUGGAAUGUGAUUGACAGAACACUCUAAAUCCCUCCUUCUUUCCUCAUAUCAGUCUCUGUUUCUGUCUCUCUUUCUCUCGCUCUAUUUUUCUCUCUAUCUCUCCUUCUCUCUCUCUGUCUCUCCACCUCCCUGUCUAUUUCUACCUCUCUCUCACUGUCUUUUCUCACUCUCUCUCUUUCUCUCUCGCUCUACCCUCUAUCUCUCUCUCUAUCAUCACAUUCUCAGCGUACAGGUUAAACAUGAGUUGUCAGGCUCAGAGCCAGUUCCACUCAUGACCAUGCUUUAGCUGGUUCUACAGCACACAGUCAGUCCCAGGUGCACUGUGUGUGUACAUUCCUCUGCAUCUACGCAGCACGCUGUAGAUCUGAGAGAAUGUAUUCUUCUAUUUCAGGUUGGAAAUCAGCGCUGUUGGUGUACAGGCAGGUAAAUAAUUCAACAGAAUGUAAUGUAAAACACUGGGUGGCUGGUUGAAUGUUUGAAUAGGAAGAAGAGCUGGUUUUGUGUUAUCCAAACAUUCAUGCAUUGUGAGCCACCUUUUCCAACACUUUUUCCGUUUGUCUUGAGAUAAAGCCAGAUCAAUGAAACCAAUGUUUCUAGCCAGGAUCCAGCCUUAAGAGGUAUCUCAGCAGGAACCAUAAAUAGGAAAUUAUUUAGGAUACUUGAGAUGAUUUUCGUGUGCUUGCUGGUGCUUGAUCUCCUUUGGGGUAGAUUUAGAUUUCAUGCACUCUGGGUGAACUUGGUGCUUUCCCUCCAGACAAGCUGGGAGGGUAGAUUAUACCAUCAGUCAUCGGCCCUUUACCCGGCUAUUAGCUCUGCCAUACAGUCUGUCUGCUAGCCCAAUCUAUCUCCUGUCUAUCUCUGCCAUACAGUCUGUCUGCUAGCCCAAUCUAUCUCCUGUAUAUCUCUGCCAUACAGUCUGUCUGCUAGCCCAAUCUAUCUCCUGUCUAUCUCUGCCAUACAGUCUGUCUGCUAGCCCAAUCUAUCUCCUGUAUAUCUCUGCCAUACAGUCUGUCUGCUAGCCCAAUCUAUCUCCUGUCUAUCUCUGCCAUACAGUCUGUCUGCUAGCCCAAUCUAUCUCCUGUAUAUCUCUGCCAUACAGUCUGUCUGCUAGCCCAAUCUAUCUCUUGUAUAUCUCUGCCAUACAGUCUGUCUGCUAGCCCAAUCUAUCUCCUGUAUAUCUCUGCCAUACAGUCUGUUUGCUAGCCCAAUCUAUCUUCUGUAUAUCUCUGCCAUACAGUCUGUCUGCUAGCCCAAUCUAUCUCCUGUAUAUCUCUGCCAAACAGUCUGUCUGCUAGUCCGAUCAAUCUCCUGUUUAUCUCUGUCAUACCAUCUGUCUGCUAGUCCAAUCUAUCUCCUGUAUCUUUCUCUCUUGCUUUCUUUCUCUCUCACUCUAUCUCACUCCCCUCUUUCCCUCCCUCUCUAUCUACCAUCUGUCUGCUAGCCCAAUCUAUCUCUUGUAUAUCUCUGCCAUACAGUCUGUCUGCUAGCCCAAUCUAUCUUCUGUAUAUCUCUGCCAUACAGUCUGUCUGCUAGCCCAAUCUAUCUCCUUUAUAUCUCUGCCAUACAUUCUGUCUGCAAGUCCAAUCUAACUCCUGUAUAUCUCUGCCAUACAGUCUGUCUGCUAGUCCAAUCUAUCUCCUGUAUAGCUCUGCCAUACAGUCUGUCUGCUAGUCCAAUCUAUCUCCUGUAUAGCUCUGCCAUACCAUCUGUCUGUUAGUCCUAUAUAUCUCCAGUAUAUCUCUGCAAUAGCAUCUGUCUGCUAGUCCAAUCUACGCCCUGUAUAGCUCUGCCAUACUGUCUGUCUGCUAGUCCAAUCUAUCUCCUGUAUAUCUCUGCCAAACUGUCUGUCUGCUAGUCCGAUCAAUCUCCUGUUUAUCUCUGUCAUACCAUCUGUCUGCUAGUCCAAUCUAUCUCCUGUAUCUUUCUCUCUUGCUUUCUUUCUCUCUCACUCUAUCUCACUCCCCUCUUUCCCUCCCUCUCUAUCUACCAUCUGUCUGCUAGUCCAAUCUAUCUCCUGUAUAUCUCUGCCAUACUAUCUGUCUGCUAGUCCAAUAUAUCUCCUGUAUAUCUCUGUCAUACCGUCUGUCUGCUAGUCCAAUCUAUCUUCUGUAUCUUUCUCUCUUGCUUUCUUUCUCUCUCACUCUAUCUCACUCCCCUCUUUCCAUCUACCAUAUGUCUGCUAAUCCAAUCUAUCUCCUGUAUAUCUCUGCCAUACUCUCUGUCUGCUAUUCCAAUCUAUCUCCCGUAUAUCUCUGCCAUACUGUCUGUCUGCUAGUCCAAUCUAUCUCCUGUAUAUCUCUGCCAUACUGUCUGUCUGCUAGUCCAAUCUAUCUCCCGUAUAUCUCUGCCAUACCGUCUGUCUGCUAGUCCAAUCUAUCUCCUGUAUAUCUAUGCCAGUGAAGGCUGUUGCCAUGGCGACACUGUGUGAUAGCCCUUUGAAGUGGCAUGUUUGUGCCUGGGAAACAGAGUGGCUUCUGUAGAAGCAAGGAGUGUGUCCUCAUCUCUCCUCUCUCUCUGUCUCGAUUUCUUGCUAUCUAUCUUUCUCUCUCGCUUUCUUUCUCACUCUAUCUCCCUCCCCUCUUUCUCUCUCUCUCUCUCUCUCACUUUCUCACUCUCUCUAUCUCUCUCCCCUCUUUCCUUCUCUCUCACUUUCUAGUUCACUAUCUCCCUUUCUCCUUCCAUCUCUCUUUCUCUCCACCCCUAUCUCUCAUUCUACCUGACAACCCACCCAUUCACUCUCCUUCCCUCUCCGUCAGUGUUAAAGGCCUUGGUCAUGUUUGUCUUCUCCUCUGUGUCUAUGCACUCUUUCUGAGGUGAAAUGGCCAAAAGCGGCAAUACAGACAGACCUCAAGUGCCUCCGUGUGGCCCCUGGACACUCAACAAAGACCAGAGUAUGGGCCAAAUAACGAUUAUUUCCUUAUACAGAUGUAGGAUCUUAAUUUGACCACCCUUUUGCAGGAGAACAGAAGGAAGAAAAAAACUUGUAGUGUAUUUGAGGUUUAAAAAGGUUUCUGAAGUUUGUAAUUUCCACUUUUAAAUUUCAGACUUGAUUUUCCCUUUAGAAAAAUGUAUCAACCACUACAAAAAUGUCCAUUAAAUUAAAUUCACAUAAUAAUUCACAUUUAUUAUUUUCCUGCAGGCUCAAAUUAAGAUCCUUCAUUUGUAUAUUCUCAGACAUUCUCAGACACAUUAACAGAACAAAACAAGUCAUUGACAAAGUCAUUACAGAUUUCCUACAUUUCAUGACUGCCCACGAAGUGUUGUAUUUCUAAAUUCUGUCUCUAAUAAAUCCAUUUCUCCCUCCUCGAUAGCCAAUUAUCUGCUCGGAGCUCAUCUUAAUGUUAUGGUUAUGUAAGCAGUAGAUCAGUAAUCCCUAGAUUGAUUUGUGGCCAAAUAAAGAUCAAACGCGACCGCC
Non-coding RNA from Salmo salar (Atlantic salmon), 4346 nucleotides. The record is from RefSeq and is a predicted model, not a curated record. Lineage: Eukaryota; Metazoa; Chordata; Actinopteri; Salmoniformes; Salmonidae.